GAUGAACGCUGGCGGAGGGAGGAAUAAAGGCAAGUCGAGCGAACGGACGAGAAGCUUGCUUUUCUGAUGUUAGCGGCGGACGGGUGAGUAACACGUGGAUAACCUACCUAUAAGACUGGGAUAACUUCGGGAAACCGGAGCUAAUACCGGAUAAUAUUUUGAACCGCAUGGUUCAAAAGUGAAAGACGGUCUUGCUGUCACUUAUAGAUGGAUCCGCGCUGCAUUAGCUAGUUGGUAAGGUAACGGCUUACCAAGGCAACGAUGCAUAGCCGACCUGAGAGGGUGCACGGCCACACUGGAACUGAGACACGGUCCAGACUCCUACGGGAGGCAGCAGUAGGGAAUCUUCCGCAAUGGGCGAAAGCCUGACGGAGCAACGCCGCGUGAGUGAUGAAGGUCUUCGGAUCGUAACCCUCUGUUCUUAGGGAAGAACAUAUGUGUAAGUAACUGUGCACAUCUUGACGGUACCUAAUCAGAAAGCCACGGCUAACUACGUG
RNAcentral lists this ribosomal RNA (497 nucleotides) under uncultured bacterium. RNAcentral describes it as "partial 16S ribosomal RNA". It matches the Rfam family "Bacterial small subunit ribosomal RNA", at positions 28 to 507 of the family's 1533-position model. The record is from RNAcentral.